Molecule: unclassified non-coding RNA, 263 nt
Filed under: Hevea brasiliensis (rubber tree)
Lineage: Eukaryota; Viridiplantae; Streptophyta; Magnoliopsida; Malpighiales; Euphorbiaceae
Source: RNAcentral
AAAAAAAAAAAAAAAAAAGUUUUCCAAGUGCAGAACUUCAAAAGUUGACCUGAUCUUCUAAAGCUAUUUGAUUAUAUUUUUUACAAUCAAGUCCUAUUAUUUUUAAAUUCAUAUUUAAAAAAAAAAGAUUAAUGGAUAAAACUAACAGUAAGCAAUUCAAAGUAUUAGGGGACCUUGCAAUCCUGGAUUUUGCUAUGGCAUAUAACCUAAUACUAGAAAAUACCUACUUUAUAAAAAGGGUCAUAUUUAGUGACUUUCAAAAG